This 90-nucleotide small nuclear RNA is filed under the name Canis lupus familiaris (dog). Its description in RNAcentral is "U2 spliceosomal RNA (multiple genes)". It matches the Rfam family "U2 spliceosomal RNA". From Rfam's summary of the family: U2 is a small nuclear RNA (snRNA) component of the spliceosome (involved in pre-mRNA splicing). Complementary binding between U2 snRNA (in an area lying towards the 5' end but 3' to hairpin I) and the branchpoint sequence (BPS) of the intron results the bulging out of an unpaired adenosine, on the BPS, which initiates a nucleophilic attack at the intronic 5' splice site, thus starting the first of two transesterification reactions that mediate splicing. The record is from Rfam by way of RNAcentral. Lineage: Eukaryota; Metazoa; Chordata; Mammalia; Carnivora; Canidae. RNAcentral also lists the same sequence under 2 other names.
AUUGCUUCUCAGCCUUUUGGCUAAGAUCAAGUGUAGUAUCUACUUCCCAAGAUAAAUUGGGUGAUGGUUUUAUUGGCUGCUAAAUCUCUU